UUAUCAAUUAGUCCAAAAAGUAUUUUUGUAAAAAAAUUUAUUUCAACUGGAAAUAAAUUUUAUUUAUUUUUAAAAAAAUAUUUCUUUGUUCAAAUAAUAUCUUUCAUAAUAGUUAAACGUAUUCAUAGUAGUUUUCUUUCACUCACAUUAUAUUUGGAAACCAAUGUAAGGGCUCAAUUUCGUCCGGCCCAAACAGAAACAAAAUAAAAACCAAAAAUAAAAAGUCCAAGUCCAUUUACAAAAAAUGGCCCAAAUACAAAAAAAAAACAUUAAGGCCCACAACCUAAAUUUUUUCAGAAAACUAAAAAAAAAACCCUAGGCCUUUUGCGCAACGCCCCACCAGGUCGGUGUGCUCACCGCCCG
This 363-nucleotide long non-coding RNA is filed under the name Gossypium raimondii (Peruvian cotton). Its description in RNAcentral is "long non-coding RNA (GRAI_LNC004774)". Lineage: Eukaryota; Viridiplantae; Streptophyta; Magnoliopsida; Malvales; Malvaceae. The record is from RNAcentral.